This 486-nucleotide ribosomal RNA is filed under the name uncultured bacterium. RNAcentral describes it as "partial 16S ribosomal RNA". It matches the Rfam family "Bacterial small subunit ribosomal RNA", at positions 29 to 507 of the family's 1533-position model. The record is from RNAcentral.
AGUGAACGCUGGCGGCAUGCCUUACACAUGCAAGUCGAACGGCAGCACGGUUACUUCCAGCUGUUAGCGAGUGGCGAACGCGUGAGUGAUACAUCUGCACCUGUCCUUAAGUUUUCGAUGGCGCGGCGGAAGCCGGAUUUAUACCACAACCGCACUACAGAUGAGAGCGGAGGACCGUCAUCCCUCGCGCUCGAGGGUUGGCCGAUGCCGGAUUAGCUAGUUCGUGGGGUAAAGGCCUACCAAGGCGACGAUCAGUAGCUGGUCUGAGAGGACGAUCAGCCACACUGGGACUGAGACACGGUCCAGACUCCUACGGGAGGCAGCAGUGGGGAAUAUUGGACAAUGGGCGAAAGCCUGAUCCAGCCAUGCCGCGUGGGUGAAGAAGGCCUUCGGGUUGUAAAGCCCUUUUGUUCGGAAAGAAAAUCCUCGGCCUAAUACCGCGCGGGUAUGACGGUACCCGAAGAAUAAGCACCGGCUAACUACGUG